This 71-nucleotide transfer RNA is filed under the name Priacanthus arenatus (Atlantic bigeye). Its description in RNAcentral is "tRNA-Phe". The record is from RNAcentral. Lineage: Eukaryota; Metazoa; Chordata; Actinopteri; Priacanthiformes; Priacanthidae.
GCUAACGUAGCUUACCCUUCAAAGCAUAACACUGAAGCUGUUAAGAUGGGCCCUAAGAAGCCCCGUCAGCA